GUUCCACGACGUUGGAUAGCAAGCUUGUCCCCGGCCUCUGGCUGGAGUGGACAGCGUCCUGUAUAUUCCUACAUCUUCCCAGAGCUCUUUGGGCCGUUACUGGGGAGGUAAACCAUGCAGUGUACAUGC
This is a small nucleolar RNA of 129 nucleotides. Its record names the gene SNORA73. It matches the Rfam family "Small nucleolar RNA SNORA73 family". Rfam says of the family: U17 (SNORA73A and SNORA73B) also known as E1 belongs to the H/ACA class of small nucleolar RNAs (snoRNAs). Vertebrate U17 is intron-encoded and ranges in length from 200-230 nucleotides, longer than most snoRNAs. It is one of the most abundant snoRNAs in human cells and is essential for the cleavage of pre-rRNA within the 5' external transcribed spacer (ETS). The record is from Ensembl.